This 117-nucleotide non-coding RNA is filed under the name Nomascus leucogenys (northern white-cheeked gibbon). Lineage: Eukaryota; Metazoa; Chordata; Mammalia; Primates; Hylobatidae. The record is from Rfam by way of RNAcentral.
GCUGGGUAUGGUAGCUCAUGCCUGUAAUCCUAGCACCUUGGAAGGCUGAGACAGGAGGAUCCCUUGAGCCCAGGAGAUCGAGAUCAGCCUGGGCAACAAAGGGAGACCCUGUCUCUA